RNAcentral lists this transfer RNA (65 nucleotides) under Nocardiopsis sp. BM-2018. RNAcentral's name for it is "tRNA-Ala". It matches the Rfam family "tRNA", at positions 15 to 71 of the family's 71-position model. From Rfam's summary of the family: Transfer RNA (tRNA) molecules are approximately 80 nucleotides in length. Their secondary structure includes four short double-helical elements and three loops (D, anti-codon, and T loops). Lineage: Bacteria; Bacillati; Actinomycetota; Actinomycetes; Streptosporangiales; Nocardiopsidaceae. The record is from RNAcentral.
GGGUAUGCUGGCAGAGCGCCGGUUUUGCAUACCGGAGGCCAGGAGUUCGAAUCUCCUUGGCUCCA